This 82-nucleotide transfer RNA is filed under the name Ixodes scapularis (black-legged tick). It matches the Rfam family "tRNA". Rfam says of the family: Transfer RNA (tRNA) molecules are approximately 80 nucleotides in length. Lineage: Eukaryota; Metazoa; Arthropoda; Arachnida; Ixodida; Ixodidae. The record is from Rfam by way of RNAcentral.
GCAGUCGCGGCCCACUAGUUAAAGCGAUGGACUAGAAAUCCAUUGGGGUCUCCCCGCACAGGUUCGAAUCCUGUCGACUGCG